UUCCGGUUGAUCCUGCCGGAGGCCACUGCUAUGGGGGUCCGACUAAGCCAUGCGAGUCAUGGGGGUGUCCCUUCUGGGACACCACCGGCGGACGGCUCAGUAACACGUCGGUAACCUACCCUCGGGAGGGGGAUAACCCCGGGAAACUGGGGCUAAUCCCCCAUAGGUGUGGGGUACUGGAAGGUCCCCACACCGAAAGAAGCUUCGUGCCCGCCCGAGGAUGGGCCGGCGGCCGAUUAGGUAGUUGGUGGGGUAACGGCCCACCAAGCCGAAGAUCGGUACGGGCCAUGAGAGUGGGAGCCCGGAGAUGGACACUGAGACACGGGUCCAGGCCCUACGGGGCGCAGCAGGCGCGAAACCUCCGCAAUGCGGGAAACCGCGACGGGGGGACCCCCAGUGCCGUGGCAACGCCACGGCUUUUCCGGAGUGUAAAAAGCUCCGGGAAUAAGGGCUGGGCAAGGCCGGUGGCAGCCGCCGCGGUAAUACCGGCGGCCCGAGUGGUGGCCGCUAUUAUUGGGCCUAAAGCGUCCGUAGCCGGGCCCGUAAGUCCCUGGCGAAAUCCCACGGCUCAACCGUGGGGCUUGCUGGGGAUACUGCGGGCCUUGGGACCGGGAGAGGCGGGGGGUACCCCUGGGGUAGGGGUGAAAUCCUAUAAUCCCAGGGGGACCGCCAGUGGCGAAGGCGCCCCGCUGGAACGGGUCCGACGGUGAGGGACGAAGGCCAGGGGAGCGAACCGGAUUAGAUACCCGGGUAGUCCUGGCUGUAAAGGAUGCGGGCUAGGUGUCGGGCGAGCUCCGAGCUCGCCCGGUGCCGUAGGGAAGCCGUUAAGCCCGCCGCCUGGGGAGUACGGCCGCAAGGCUGAAACUUAAAGGAAUUGGCGGGGGAGCACUACAAGGGGUGGAGCGUGCGGUUUAAUUGGAGUCAACGCCGGGA
This 933-nucleotide ribosomal RNA is filed under the name uncultured archaeon. RNAcentral's name for it is "bacterial SSU rRNA". It matches the Rfam family "Archaeal small subunit ribosomal RNA", at positions 1 to 923 of the family's 1478-position model. The record is from RNAcentral.